AAGGCUUUAAGUUAAAAAAACUAAUAGCCUUCAAAGCUAUAAAUAUAAGAAAGAUCUUUUAAGCCUUU
This 68-nucleotide transfer RNA is filed under the name Oestrus ovis (sheep bot fly). RNAcentral's name for it is "tRNA-Trp". It matches the Rfam family "tRNA". From Rfam's summary of the family: Transfer RNA (tRNA) molecules are approximately 80 nucleotides in length. The record is from RNAcentral. Lineage: Eukaryota; Metazoa; Arthropoda; Insecta; Diptera; Oestridae.